ACUGGUGUUGAUCAGGAUGGUUUACAAUGGGAGGGAUACAUGGGUCUAUUUAUAGAGGAAGAUUGGGGCUGUGCUGGGAUUUGGGUCUGUGCUGGGGAAGCUAGGGAUUGGGGGUAUGCUGGGGAUUGGGGCUGUGCUGGGGAUUGGGGCUGUGGCAUGGAUUGGGGCUGUGCUAGAAGGUAUCCAGAAUCAUGGGGCAUAAGGGCUGUGCUAGAUGAUAUCCAAGUGCCAUGGCUCUGGAUCAUGCAAUGUACUGUGGCUCCGUGUUGUGACCUGUACCGUGGCUCUGGGUCAUGACUUGUACCGUGGCUCUGGUUCAUGAUCUGUACCGUGGCUCUGGGUCAGGACUUGUAUCUAGGCUCUGGAUCAUGACAGGCAAAAUAGAUCCGUCACUUCGGAAAAGGAUUGGCUCUAAGGGUUGGGCGCAUUGGGCCAUUGUUCAAAGCCUUGGAACUGGCCUGGGACUACUCGGGUCGCAAGAGAAGAGCGGAUCUGGGCCAGAUCUGGGCGUGGCGGACUUUGGCGUGCUUCACGACGUCUGGUGCAUGGUUAACAACCAACUUAGAACUGGUACGGACAAGGGCAAUCUGACUGUCAAAUUAAAACAUAGCAUUGCGAUGGUUAGAAAAUAAUGUUAACGCAAUGUGAUUUCUGCCCAGUGCUCUGAAUGUCAAAGUGAAGAAAUUCAACCAAGCGCGGGUAAACAGCGGGGGUAACUACGACUCUCUUAAGGUAGCCCAAUGCCUCGUCGUCUAAUUAGUGACGCGCAUGAAUGGAUUAACGAGAUUCCCACGGUCCCUAUCUACUAUCUAGCGAAACCACAGCCAAGGGAACGGGCUUGGCGUAAUCAGCGGGGAGAGAAGACCCUGUUGAGCUUGACUCUAGUUUGACAUUGUGAAAAAACUUAGGGGGUGUAGAAUAAGUGGGAGCUUCGGCGCCGGUGAAGUACCACUACCCUUAUCGUUUUUUUACUUAUUCAAUGAAGCAGGAUUGGCCUUCACCCAUCACCUUCUGGUGUUACGGCACUUCGCGUGCUAACCUGGGUUGAAGACAUUGUCAGGCGGGGAGUUUGGCUGGGGCGGCACAUCUGUUAAAAGAUAACGCAGGAGUCCUAAGGGGAACUCAUCCAGAACAGAAAUCUCGAGUAGAACAAAAGGGUAAAAGUUCCCAUGUUUUUGAUUUUCAGUGUGAAUACAAACCAUGAAAGUGUGGCCUACCGAUCCUUUAGUCACUGGGUAUUUCAGCCUAGAGGUGUCAGAAAAGUUACCACACGGAUAGCUGGCUUGUGGCAGCCAGCGUUCAUAGCGACAUUGCUUUUUGAUCCGUUGAUGUUGGCUCUUCCUAUCAUUGAGAAGCCGAAUUCUCAAAGCGUCAGAUUGUUCACCAAUAGGGAGCGUGAGCUGGGUGUAGACCGUCGUGAGACAGGUUAGUUUCUCACUACUGAUGAAGGUUUAUCGCAAUAGUAUUUCAACCUAGUACGAGAGGAAGUGUUGAUUCGCAUAAUUGGUUUUCGCUGUUAGCUGAAAAGCUAGUGCCGCGAUGCUACCAUUCGUCGGAUUACGGCUGAAUGCCUCCAACUCGGAAUCCACGCUAGAACGCGAUGAUUUCUCCCCACUUCAUGUCAGAAGAGUACAUAUAGACUUUGGUCGAGAAUCAUAGAGGAGUAGCAAGGGUAGGCUCCGAAGGGGACCCCCCAAAAGAGUCGGAGAGGCGCUUCUGCCCAGAUGUCGGGCGAAUCGCGCCGGCCAUUACCUGUCUUGACAUCCCCGCGAUUUGCACCACCUCCACGAUCCAGUCCUCCGCGUUCUUCCGUUCCAUGGCGU
Molecule: ribosomal RNA, 1823 nt
Filed under: Blyttiomyces helicus
Lineage: Eukaryota; Fungi; Chytridiomycota; Chytridiomycetes
Description: eukaryotic LSU rRNA
Rfam family: Eukaryotic large subunit ribosomal RNA (bases 356-1768)
Source: RNAcentral